CGGGUGUAGCUCAGUGGUAGAGCUCUUGCUUCCCAAGCAAGUUGUCGUGAGUUCGAUCCUCAUCACC
Molecule: transfer RNA, 67 nt
Filed under: marine eukaryotic metagenome
Rfam family: tRNA
About the family: Transfer RNA (tRNA) molecules are approximately 80 nucleotides in length. Their secondary structure includes four short double-helical elements and three loops (D, anti-codon, and T loops).
Source: RNAcentral